GUAUUUGACAUGCACAUUUGAAGGAGCACAUGAGAAAGCCACCUGACUAGGCAGUGUGAUAGGAUUGCUGAUUUCUGCUGAUGGCCAUGCCUACCUUACUCUCGGAUUCUGGGAUUUUACAUUUGCAUGAAACAUCUCUCCUUGUGCUAACUCCUGAUUUGAUCUGCAUAACAUCACCAAAGUGUUUCUAGUCAUCUAGAGUUCUUGGAAACUGAGGCCGUGAAUCAUUGAAAGACCUAUUGGAAGCAUUUUGAGAAACUGGGUGCCCAUCUGGCCUGUCAUUGGCAGGGGCUCUGGACUGGGAUGGAAGUCUCCCAUAUCCAUGUGUCUGGGCAAAAUGCAAAUGGCGGUAACCACAACCAGCUCCUUAUUUCUCACUGAUGGUGCUCAGAGACCCAGCAACAUUCACCCUGGAAGUAAUCCAGUGGUUUUGACAUAAACUCUGAGGUGGGGCUUGGUUUUUCAAGAAACCUCUGCUGCCAAGGCAAGUUGAUUCCGAAUGCUGGGAACCAUGAAGUGGCCACCACCACAUGGAGCAGUUGAGACCCACAGUGAGGAGCAACUUUCCUUCCUACAGAGGGAUCCAAACCUCCUUUAUACAGCCCAUUUGCUGGGGGCAGCUGAUUCUGUUUCUGGCUACUGAGAUGGGGCACGUACCCAGGUGGAGCCUAUACCAAUGAUGGAAAACCAUUCCCUGAUGAAAGUUAUUGCAUCCAGGGUGGGUAGUGAGCCUGCAGGUCAUGUUUGCUGAUACAUUUCUGGGAAAGAAGUGUCCUCUGUUUUAGAAAAACUGGGAAACCAGCUUCUUUCUCUAUCCUUAAAUGUGAAUGGAGGCAGAGACCAGGCAGGUUGUGGACAGCCAAAAUAGGAUUGCUGGGAUUGAAGAUGACAUUGCCAAGGGCAGACAGAUGUCGAAGUAAACCUGGUCUCUGAUGACACUGUUGAGCAAUUGAACUGAAUCAUUCCUGAAACUAACCUUACUUCUAGCAUUCAGUCAUGUGAGCUAUUAAUUCUCUUUUAUCGUUCGAGUUUUUUUUUUCUCACUCAGUGGAAACUAUUCAUGGCCACAGUAAGGGAAGAUAAUAUUUCUUUCUCAAAAGCUAACUAGAACUUUGAUAGAGUAUAGUUAUUAUGCUUGGAAAGAACUAAUUAGAUCUCAGUAUUCGAGAGCUAUGUGAUAACUGGUUCAUGUUAUAUUUACAGCUCUAUAUUCAAAUAAAACCCAAAUGUCAGAUGCUUGAAUAUGAAUAUAAGAAUAUCAGGACCUGCUGUUACUGCAGCUGAAACUGAAUUGUAGUUCUCUGAGGGAGAGUCAAUAAUUUUCUUUUAAGCCAGACUCAAGAUUCCUAAAUGUACUUCCAAAUAACAAAUAAUAAAUGGCCAAGGAAAAUAUUUUUAAAAUACCUCUAUGGAGGACAAAAAUUAGGGGGAGAAUGCCACUUGUCUGUUAUAUAAGAGUUGUAGCUGAUAAAAGUUUAAUUUAUCACUUCAUGUUUAUGAUAAAAUGUAACAUAACUCAUUAAUUGCAUCCAUUAAUCAUCUCUCAUUCAUAAAAAUGGCAUAUGUGUUGAAGAGCUACAUAAUUCUUUACCAUGUGUAGUAUUAUAGUGAUAAUCUAUAAAUAAUAUAAAAGUUUGCAGAAAACUAAAGUAUAUGGAACUGUAGAAAGAGAUAAAUUUUUAAAUAUUUACGGUUUUGCUCUGCUCCUUUAAUGAACUGGUGUUUUAGCCAUUUGAGCCACCUAGUGGUAAUAGACAUGAGAUAUGAUAUCUUAUUCUGAAAAACAAUGUUAAAGUUUAACAGUUUCCAAUUUAGAAGAAUUGAACUAAGUAAAGCGAAUCAUAACCGUUAUAUAUUAUAUAUUUAGCUUUUGAAUUAAUAUUUCUUUAUUGGUAGAAGAUUAUGAGAAAAUAAAUUAUAAAAAAUUUUUUACUUAUUUUAUUUCUUCUAAUAGAGGCCACAUAACCAAGCAAAUUAAAAUGAUAAAAAAAUUAUAAUUGAAGCAGAUUCUUUUGAAAGGUAUAAGAAAGAAAAGGCGAUCAAAUAUUUAGUGGACUAAGAUGAAUAAUGGAUUUUCCAACUUAAUUGUAUUCAAAUGUAACCUUAGGUAAGUGGUCUCGGGUGUAGUCAUAUUCUCUAAAUCUGUCUUCUAGCCAGUCAUUAUUAGUCUGUCUUCUUAUAUUUAAAGAACAAAACUGAAUCACUAAUCUGCUCAGUGGUCCAUUAGAAAUACUCUGUAACCAGAUUACACUGUGUCUAAUUUUAGAUUUCUUUAACUGGGAACUGUAGAUCAAAGCAAGUUUCCAUUUUGGCUCUGCUCUGGUAUAAUAACUUCCAGCAGAGCCAAAUCAUGAAAUACUGCUAACUUCAUGUGUUAGAAUCCACAUUCAUCUUUGCCUUGUUAACUUUUAAGGAGUUUUUUAUUUGUUGUUCCGAGAAUGCCAGGUUCUUUGGUUUCCUGCUUUCUUAAAUUGCCAUAUGUCUCUAAAUAGGUUUUUUUUCCCCCCAUAAUCAGAAUUAGCACAAAGAUAGAUAGAUUUGUCUUCUUUGAAUUCACCAGCCUCUCUGCUUGGUAGGAUUGCAAAACUAUCUUAUGAACCCAGCAGAGAAAAUAUCCUCUCUUCUUGAUGAUCCUGCUUGUUGGAACUCUGACCUUCUCCAUUUCUUCUGUGGUUUCAGUGGAUAAGCUGAAGACAAAUCUUCACAUGUGGUUCCUGGAAGCAAUGGCAUCUAAAGCUGAUCUAAAGUCUAGAGGAUUGAAGAGUGUCAGCUAAGAGCAGACAAAACCUUUAAGGAGUAAUUGAGCAGGGUACAAAGGCAAUAGAGUCUAAAAGAGGAAGACCUUCCCUAAUAUAUAAGAUACCCAGGAAGAUCAGUGGGGGAACAAGAUAAUGGAGGGAGAAUUCUGCUACAACAGAAUGGUGUCUGUUAUUUUGCACCCCCCCUUUUUUUUUAAAAGAAAUACCUUUUUUUUUUUCUGGACAGAAUGUGUGAAUUGAGGGGUAGAGGUGUUUGCUAGGCUGGGCCAAUCAGAGAAUUCCAUGAGUCGUUUUGAAAUUAGUUCUGGUGAGAAGUCUGAGAUAUCCUCUGGUGUCAAACUUAGGAGAUGUGAAUUGUGGUACUGCUUCCUGCUUUAUGUAGAAAAUCCAUCCAGAAAAUGAGAUGAUAGCCGAGAGCAGAAACAGGCAGAGACACAGAGGAGGGAAUACGUCUGAGCCAUGCUUUUUGGAACCAGCACAUUUCCCCUUUUACCGCAGCUAGUUGGAGUUGAAUUUCUGUCACUUAUAACCCAAAGAGUCCUGAUUAGUACAGAACAGAUACUGCCUGCAUAGUCAAGUAACUUGUUCAGUGAACAGAAUAUUCUGGAAGGUGAGAGAAAAGAACAGUUUCCAGAAUCCUGAGAAUCAGGAAGACAAUGAUCAGCAGUCCCCACCAAGACCUGAUAUUAAUCAAAACAGGGUAAUUGACUGCAUUUAAUAUUCAUAAGACACUGAGAGAAGGUGUGACUACAUGGGUGUCUGAAGAAUUGCAGGAGAUGAACUUUUCAUUUACCUUAAAAUGCUCAUUCCAGACCACGCAUGUUUUCUUCAUUUCUUAAUAUCAAAAUAUUUUACUAAUAUAUCGUGAUGACUAACUUUUGGAAGUAGGAAGUACCAGGAUGCCUAAUAGUAGCUUCUGGGUUGGGGCUGAGGCUGUGUCAAUAUUGCAUCUGUUAUGCUCAUGGCCCUAUUUCAGUAAAACCACUCCAUUGAGCGAAUGAGGCUUUUCCAAAACCUUCAGCCCCCAGCCGUGUUUGGUAUCAGUGACCUGCCUGUCCCCUUCCUGUCCCCUUCUCACUCAUAGCUUGUUAGGAUAAUUCAAAAUUUGAAAAAUUGAGUCUUCCAUUUUUCAAAUUUUGAAUUUUCAAAUUCGAAAUUUGAAAUUUCAGAAUUUGAAAAAUGGAAGACUAAGCACACAAAAUUCCAAAAUGAACUUCAAAAAUGCACAGAGACUGCAGAACAGUAAGUAAACUCGCUUAGAGAAUAUGAGGGAGCAGGGCCUUCCUUUUUUCUGGAUGGAUUUUUAAUGCAGAGUCGUAGACAUCAGCUAAUGCUAGGGCCUGGCUCAUAUUCAGGUGGCCUUGGUUUCCCACCUUCAUCUC
Molecule: long non-coding RNA, 4141 nt
Organism: Callithrix jacchus (white-tufted-ear marmoset)
Lineage: Eukaryota; Metazoa; Chordata; Mammalia; Primates; Cebidae
Source: Ensembl